Molecule: transfer RNA, 88 nt
Filed under: Actinophytocola oryzae
Lineage: Bacteria; Bacillati; Actinomycetota; Actinomycetes; Pseudonocardiales; Pseudonocardiaceae
Rfam family: tRNA
About the family: Transfer RNA (tRNA) molecules are approximately 80 nucleotides in length. Their secondary structure includes four short double-helical elements and three loops (D, anti-codon, and T loops). Further hydrogen bonds mediate the characteristic L-shaped molecular structure. tRNAs have two regions of fundamental functional importance: the anti-codon, which is responsible for specific mRNA codon recognition, and the 3' end, to which the tRNAs corresponding amino acid is attached (by aminoacyl-tRNA synthetases). tRNAs cope with the degeneracy of the genetic code in two manners: having more than one tRNA (with a specific anti-codon) for a particular amino acid; and 'wobble' base-pairing, i.e. permitting non-standard base-pairing at the 3rd anti-codon position.
Source: Rfam by way of RNAcentral
GGAGGGCUGGCCGAGAGGCAAGGCACCGGGUUGCUACCCCGUGGUCCGGGACGACGUCCCGGCGCGCGUUCGAUCCGCGCGCCCUCCG